Pyrus x bretschneideri (Chinese white pear) is the source of this 1384-nucleotide RNA transcript. RefSeq lists it as uncharacterized. NCBI's taxonomy places the organism in Eukaryota, Viridiplantae, Streptophyta, Magnoliopsida, Rosales, Rosaceae. The transcript has 4 exons. The record is from RefSeq and is a predicted model, not a curated record.
AGCCAUCCUUCCCUUCCAAUUAAAAGCAUUAUUACUAUAAUUUACCGUUGCCUUCAUUCUUGGUUUUGUACCUAAGCUUAAAGUGAAAAGUGAUUAUCUUGCAAAUCGAUUACUUAAUAAUCUGAAAAUGAUCUAUAUAUAUUAAUUAGAUUUUUGAAAUUAGAACAACUGUUUUCACUAAUUUUCGCAAGAUUUAGUGAUUUUUAUUAACUACAAAAUGUGCAAGGCAGCACCUUGUUGGAUGGAUCCUUGCCUUCAACAAAUUCUCUCACACGACGGAUCCUUGCCUUCAGAUUGUAGUAAUUGCCGUACAAGUUAACACUUUUGUGUGGAAUUGGUGCAACUUUUGGGGUUUGUGCGAUGUUAUUUUGCUUAGUUGUUGGCUAAAAUUUGGUUCUUUUGAUUUGGGUCUGGUGAAAUUGUUUCAACGGUGGGCGGGAUUGGUGUUCAGGGAUGUUAUGGUUGUGUGAGGUUUUGAUACGGUUGUCAUAAAUGGAGGAUGUUAUUGAAGUUAAUGAACAUGCUUAUCUUUGUAGGCUUGACUUCUGAACACAAAGCCUACUCUUUUCAAUUGUUGGAAAGGUUUCUUAAUUUUUAUUUCUAUUUGUAUGUGUUGAAUUUUGGGUUAUUUUGCUGAUGUUAUUCAAUUGAAUGAAAAUUUGAUGUUUUUUAACCUUUUGGUUUUGUAGGAUUUUCGCUAAUAGGCAAUUGGCUGCGAGGUAGAAGGAGAGGAAGGUGAGGUAUACGGAUGAGCUGGAGAGGAAGGUGCAGACACUUCAGACCAAGGCAACCACCCUAUCAGCACAGGUCACUCUAUAAUAGGCUUGACUUCUAAAAACGUAUCUUGCAAAGCUACGCUUCACAAAUUUACAAUGCCUAUCAAGUGCAGCACAUACAUUUGUGUUGUAUAAUUGUAUUCAAUAAGGAUAAUACUAUCACUGCACCUUAUUCCUUGACACUUUGGGCCUUCUUGAGUCUUCGUUGGAGUAGUGCAAAUCAGUUUUCCGACUCGAUAUCAUGGUCUUCAGUAGCUCGACUGGGCUUUAUGAGUAUGAUCAUGAUGCGUCAAAAGCUACGGAGCUUGAAGUGUCAAUGAGAAUUAAAGUGAUAAUACGUAAAAAGUUCUCAGAGGUGGUUACAGUGGAGACCAAUAUUCAGAAUACAGUGGACAAGUCUUUACAAGCUAAUCCUAGUGGUAAUGGAAACCAUAUCCUUUGUCUCUCUGCUUACUUGCUUUUUAACAUGGAGAGAAAUUUAAUCUGUAUUUCAGAAUUAGUGCUCUUCUUGAUGUCCAACUAUAGGGAAAUGGUUCUUGAAAUUGUAUUUUGGAAUUAGUGAUCUUGAUUGGUUGAUUCAGAACAAAAGAACUAAUUUCCUUCCUACA